UAAAAUUUUAUUUUAAUUAAUCCCCUCUGUUUCCUAAUACCACCUUCAUCUCACAGUUUUUUUUGAGUUACAUUCAAACACAUCUCCAUUUUUCUUUUCUCUCCAACACAAAUUUCCUUUUCUCUCCAACACAGAUCUGCCACAAAUAUCCUUUUCUCUCCAACACAGAUCUGCCAUAAGCUCCUCCGUUCGCAUCUUCGACACAAAUUUCCUUUUCUUCCAACACAGAUCUUCCUCCAUUCGCGUCUUCGAAGGUAGUUUCCCUUUCUUCAUCUCCAACACAGAUCUGCCAUUUUUCCUCCAUUUUUACCAAUAAAAAGCCCUUUUUCACCAUUUAAAUCCAUCUUCUCACAGAUUAGAGUGAUCUUCACCGAUUGGUCUUCUUUUUCUUCCGAUUAAAAGCCUCUCCACCAUUUGUUCUUCAAUAUUCACCGUUCCAUCACUCACUCGAACCGAUUAAUCGGUUCAUAUUGUGUUUUCUCCCUUUUCUAGAGUUUAUGUGAGUUCAGAGAGGAGAGAAGAAGGAUUCGCGGGUUUGGAUGAGGGAAGAAGAAAACGUUGGCAGCACCGUCGGCGGCGAGUGGGGAUUCUGAGCAAAGGCAACGUGAACACGGUGGCAGGUUUUUAUUUUCGCUUUUGGCUGGCCACGGUGAGGCGCGGUGGUGCCGGUAAAGAGAAGAGCAGGCAGAGAAGAGCAGGCAUAUGGGGAUGAAGAAGAGACCUAAGUUGUCUUUUCAUUUUUGGAUGAAGAAAAUGAGAAACCCUAAUCUGAUUUGAACAAAAAAAUUGGGUCUUAGCUUGGACCAAUAUUCACUGGCAGUACUUCCACAAAUUUAUUGUUGCA
RNAcentral lists this long non-coding RNA (844 nucleotides) under Vigna radiata. RNAcentral describes it as "long non-coding RNA (VRAD_LNC005413)". Lineage: Eukaryota; Viridiplantae; Streptophyta; Magnoliopsida; Fabales; Fabaceae. The record is from RNAcentral.